GCUCCCUUAGCUCAGCUGGAUAGAGCAACGGAUUUCUAAUCCGUAGGUCGCAGGUUCAAGUCCUGCAGGGAGCG
This 74-nucleotide transfer RNA is filed under the name Verrucomicrobiaceae bacterium. RNAcentral's name for it is "tRNA-Arg". It matches the Rfam family "tRNA". Rfam says of the family: Transfer RNA (tRNA) molecules are approximately 80 nucleotides in length. The record is from RNAcentral. RNAcentral also lists the same sequence under 1 other name. Lineage: Bacteria; Pseudomonadati; Verrucomicrobiota; Verrucomicrobiia; Verrucomicrobiales; Verrucomicrobiaceae.